This 254-nucleotide ribosomal RNA is filed under the name uncultured bacterium. RNAcentral describes it as "partial 16S ribosomal RNA". It matches the Rfam family "Bacterial small subunit ribosomal RNA", at positions 524 to 776 of the family's 1533-position model. The record is from RNAcentral.
UACAGAGGUCUCAAGCGUUGUUCGGAUUCAUUGGGCGUAAAGGGUGCGUAGGCGGUUCGGUAAGUCAGGUGUGAAAUCUCCACGCUCAACGUGGAGGCGCCACCUGAAACUGCCGUGACUCGAGUCCGGUAGGGGAGUGUGGAAUUCCCGGUGUAGCGGUGAAAUGCGCAGAUAUCGGGAGGAACACCAGUGGCGAAGGCGGCACUCUGGGCCGGUACUGACGCUGAGGAGCGAAAGCGUGGGGAGCGAACAGG